Molecule: ribosomal RNA, 264 nt
Filed under: uncultured bacterium
Lineage: Bacteria
Description: partial 16S ribosomal RNA
Rfam family: Bacterial small subunit ribosomal RNA
Source: RNAcentral
UACGUAGGGUGCAAGCGUUAAUCGGGAUUACUGGGCGUAAAGCGCGUGUAGGCGGAUCGUUAAGUUGGGGUGAAUCCCGAGGCUCAACCUCGGAACUGCCUUCAAAACUGACGACCUGGACUCAAGUAGAGGCAAGUGGAAUUGCGAGUGUAGAGGUGAAAUUCGUAGAUAUUCGCAGGAACACCAGUGGCGAAGGCGACUUGCUGGACUUGUAGUGACGCUGAGACGCGAAAGCGUGGGGAGCAAACAGGAUUAGAAACCCCC